RNAcentral lists this ribosomal RNA (253 nucleotides) under uncultured bacterium. Its description in RNAcentral is "partial 16S ribosomal RNA". It matches the Rfam family "Bacterial small subunit ribosomal RNA", at positions 524 to 776 of the family's 1533-position model. The record is from RNAcentral.
GACGAACCACACAAACGUUAUUCGGAAUUACUAGGCUUAAAGGGUGCGUAGGCGGCGCGGAAAGUAGGGUGUGAAAUCCCUCGGCUCAACCGAGGAAUUGCGCCCUAAACUACCGUGCUCGAGGGAGAUAGAGGUGAGCGGAACUUAGGGUGGAGCGGUGAAAUGCGUUGAUAUCCUAAGGAACACCGGUGGCGAAAGCGGCUCACUGGAUCUCUUCUGACGCUGAGGCACGAAAGCUAGGGUAGCGAACGGG